This 256-nucleotide unclassified non-coding RNA is filed under the name fungal sp. RNAcentral's name for it is "partial internal transcribed spacer region". The stretch from base 1 to 46 matches the Rfam family "Eukaryotic small subunit ribosomal RNA", at positions 1786 to 1831 of the family's 1831-position model. Lineage: Eukaryota; Fungi. The record is from RNAcentral.
AAGUCGUAACAAGGUAACCGUAGGUGAACCUGCGGUUGGAUCAUUAACAAAUUUUUCGUUCGGUUGAAAUCCUUUUUUCGAUCGCUCGACAUUAUGUGAACUUUUUAUUGAAUCUUGGUGAUUGUUAGAUGUUGAAGUAUUGUACUUUAAUUGAAGACGUUGCCAAUAUUAAACUUUUAUGAAUUUUAUUAACUUGUCUUGAAUUUUAAUUAUAUCUUAAUUUAAACAACUUUUGACAACGGAUCUCUAGGCUCUC